UGGGAUAUUCUCUUACGUACAGAAUUAACGGGCUUAACGAUGCGCUUCGCGUCUCUGUUUGUUCGUCCCAGUCUCUGUUCGGGUCUCUCCUUCAUUUCAUGGCAUGGCUCUAUCUUAGAGCUUUAUUCAAUGAGAUUUUUUUUAGGAUGGGUGUAGCUUUCUUUCAUGUUGGAAUUUCUCCCGCUGUAAUGUAAUAUAUAGGAGUUCUC
This 209-nucleotide long non-coding RNA is filed under the name Lotus japonicus. Its description in RNAcentral is "long non-coding RNA (LJAP_LNC002267)". Lineage: Eukaryota; Viridiplantae; Streptophyta; Magnoliopsida; Fabales; Fabaceae. The record is from RNAcentral.